CAGCCGCCGCGGGAAUACGAUGGGGGCUAGCGUUGUUCGGAUUUACUGGGCGUAAAGGGCGCGUAGGCGGACUGAUAAGUCAGGGGUGAAAUCCCAAGGCUCAACCUUGGAACUGCCUUUGAUACUGUUUGUCUUGAGUUCGAGAGAGGUAAGUGGAACUGCGAGUGUAGAGGUGAAAUUCGUAGAUAUUCGCAAGAACACCAGUGGCGAAGGCGGCUUACUGGCUCGAUACUGACGCUGAGGCGCGAAAGCGUGGGGAGCAAACAGGAUUAGAUACCCCGGUAGUCCCUGUCUCUUAUAC
This 301-nucleotide ribosomal RNA is filed under the name uncultured bacterium. RNAcentral describes it as "partial 16S ribosomal RNA". It matches the Rfam family "Bacterial small subunit ribosomal RNA", at positions 509 to 807 of the family's 1533-position model. The record is from RNAcentral.